This 805-nucleotide ribosomal RNA is filed under the name uncultured archaeon. Its description in RNAcentral is "bacterial SSU rRNA". It matches the Rfam family "Archaeal small subunit ribosomal RNA", at positions 6 to 805 of the family's 1478-position model. The record is from RNAcentral.
GGUUGAUCCUGCCGGAGGUUAUUGCUAUCCGGAUUCGACUAAGCCAUGCAAGUCUUGGUGUUCAAUUUAUUGGACACUAGGGCAGAAAGCUCAGUAACAUGUAGUUAAUAUGCCCUCAAGUCAGGGAUAAUUUCGGGAAACUGAAGCUAAUACCUGAUAGACAAGAAAUACUGGAGUGUUUUCUUUUCAAAAGCUUUUGCGCUUGAGGAUUGGACUGCACCGGAUUAGGUUGUUGUUAGGGUAACGUCCUGGCAAGCCGAUAAUCCGUACGAGCCUUGAGAGAGGAAGCUCGGAGAUGGAUUCUGAGACAAGAAUCCAGGCCCUACGGGGCGCAGCAGGCGCGAAACUUUCCCAAUGCACGCAAGCGUGAGGAAGGGAUCUGGAGUGCAUUCUCUUACAUAGGGGAUGCUUUUGUAGAGUGUAAACAGCUCUAAGAAUAAGUGGUGGGUAAGACGGGUGCCAGCCGCCGCGGUAAUACCCGCGCCACGAGUGAUAACCACGUUUAUUGGGCUUAAAGCGUUCGUAGCCGGUCUGGAAAGUCUUUAGUGAAAUCCCAUAGCUAACUAUGGGGCUCGCUAGAGAAACUAUUGGACUUGGAACCGGGAGAGGUCUGGGGUACUCAAGGGGUAGGGGUAAAAUCCUGUAAUCCUUUGGGGACCACCUGUGGCGAAGCGCCAGACCAGAACGGAUUCGACGGUGAGGGACGAAAGCUAGGGGAGCAAAGGGGAUUAGAUACCCCCGUAGUCCUAGCUGUAAACGAUGCCCACUAGACAUUGGCAAUCUUACGUGGGUUGCCAGUGUCGUA